CCUACGGGGGGCUGCAGUGGGGAAUAUUGGACAAUGGGGGCAACCCUGAUCCAGCCAUGCCGCGUGUGUGAAGAAGGCCCUCGGGUUGUAAAGCACUUUCAGUGAGGAAGAACGCCUGGUGGUUAAUACCCAUCAGGAAAGACAUCACUCACAGAAGAAGCACCGGCUAACUCCGUGUCAGCAGCCGCGGUAAUACGGAGGGUGCGAGCGUUAAUCGGAAUUACUGGGCGUAAAGCGCGCGUAGGUGGCUUGAUAAGCCGGUUGUGAAAGCCCCGGGCUCAACCUGGGAACGGCAUCCGGAACUGUCAAGCUAGAGUGCAGGAGAGGAAGGUAGAAUUCCCGGUGUAGCGGUGAAAUGCGUAGAGAUCGGGAGGAAUACCAGUGGCGAAGACGGCCUUCUGGACUGACACUGACACUGAGGUGCGAAAGCGUGGGUAGCAAACAGGAUUAGAUACCCCUGUAGUC
RNAcentral lists this ribosomal RNA (465 nucleotides) under Vreelandella stevensii. Its description in RNAcentral is "partial 16S ribosomal RNA". It matches the Rfam family "Bacterial small subunit ribosomal RNA", at positions 338 to 795 of the family's 1533-position model. Lineage: Bacteria; Pseudomonadati; Pseudomonadota; Gammaproteobacteria; Oceanospirillales; Halomonadaceae. The record is from RNAcentral.